RNAcentral lists this ribosomal RNA (922 nucleotides) under uncultured bacterium. Its description in RNAcentral is "bacterial SSU rRNA". It matches the Rfam family "Bacterial small subunit ribosomal RNA", at positions 9 to 916 of the family's 1533-position model. The record is from RNAcentral.
GAGUUUGAUCCUGGCUCAGGAUGAACGCUAGCGACAGGCUUAACACAUGCAAGUCGAGGGGCAGCGGUGGUGAAGGCUUGCCUUUACCAGCCGGCGACCGGCGCACGGGUGAGUAACACGUAUGCAACCUGCCUGCCACAGCCGGAUAAUCGGGAGAAAUUCCGUCUAAUACGGCAUAAUGCAUCGACGGGACAUCCUGUUGGUGCCAAAGGUUGAUUCCGGUGGCGGAUGGGCAUGCGUCGCAUUAGUUAGUUGGCGGUGUAACGGACCACCAAGACGACGAUGCGUAGGGGUUCUGAGAGGAAGGUCCCCCACACUGGUACUGAGACACGGACCAGACUCCUACGGGAGGCAGCAGUGAGGAAUAUUGGUCAAUGGGAGAGAUCCUGAACCAGCCAAGUCGCGUGAGGGAUGACGGCCCUAUGGGUUGUAAACCUCUUUUGCCGGGGAGCAAAGUGCCGCACGUGUGCGGUUUGGAGAGUACCCGGAGAAAAAGCAUCGGCUAACUCCGUGCCAGCAGCCGCGGUAAUACGGAGGAUGCGAGCGUUAUCCGGAUUUAUUGGGUUUAAAGGGUGCGUAGGCGGACGCUUAAGUCAGCGGUAAAAUUGCGGGGCUCAACCUCGUCGAGCCGUUGAAACUGGGUGCCUUGAGUGGGCGAGAAGUACGCGGAAUGCGUGGUGUAGCGGUGAAAUGCAUAGAUAUCACGCAGAACUCCGAUUGCGAAGGCAGCGUACCGGCGCCCAACUGACGCUGAAGCACGAAGGCGUGGGUAUCGAACAGGAUUAGAUACCCUGGUAGUCCACGCAGUAAACGAUGAAUGCUAGUUGUCCGGGGCGAUUGAGUUCUGGGUGACACAGCGAAAGCGUUAAGCACUCCACCUGGGGAGUACGCCGGCAACGGUGAAACUCAAAGGAAUUGACGG